Pleurotus ostreatoroseus is the source of this 84-nucleotide non-coding RNA. Lineage: Eukaryota; Fungi; Basidiomycota; Agaricomycetes; Agaricales; Pleurotaceae. The record is from the annotation of a GenBank genome assembly.
GACUCUGUAGCUCAGUGGUAGAGCAUACGAUUGCAGUUUUCUGCUUAUAUCGUGCGGUCCCGUGUUCGAACCACGGCAGGGUCU